GAAAAUUUAGUUAAUUUAUAACAUCAGACUGUCAAACUGAAAUAAUUACUUAAAUAAUUUUUU
RNAcentral lists this transfer RNA (63 nucleotides) under Elateroidea sp. 5 KM-2017. Its description in RNAcentral is "tRNA-Asp". The record is from RNAcentral. Lineage: Eukaryota; Metazoa; Arthropoda; Insecta; Coleoptera.